This 253-nucleotide ribosomal RNA is filed under the name uncultured bacterium. Its description in RNAcentral is "partial 16S ribosomal RNA". It matches the Rfam family "Bacterial small subunit ribosomal RNA", at positions 524 to 776 of the family's 1533-position model. The record is from RNAcentral.
UACGAAGGGGGCUAGCGUUGCUCGGAAUCACUGGGCGUAAAGGGUGCGUAGGCGGGUCUUUAAGUCAGGGGUGAAAUCCUGGAGCUCAACUCCAGAACUGCCUUUGAUACUGAGGAUCUUGAGUACGGGAGAGGUGAGUGGAACUGCGAGUGUAGAGGUGAAAUUCGUAGAUAUUCGCAAGAACACCAGUGGCGAAGGCGGCUCACUGGACCGGUACUGACGCUGAGGCGCGAAAGCGUGGGUAGCAAACAGG